Molecule: ribosomal RNA, 450 nt
Filed under: uncultured bacterium
Lineage: Bacteria
Description: partial 16S ribosomal RNA
Rfam family: Bacterial small subunit ribosomal RNA
Source: RNAcentral
GUGGGGAAUAUUGGACAAUGGGCGCAAGCCUGAUCCAGCCAUGCCGCGUGUGUGAAGAAGGCCUUCGGGUUGUAAAGCACUUUUGUUGGGAAAGAAAUCCUGUCGGCUAAUACCCGGCGGGGAUGACGGUACCCAAAGAAUAAGCACCGGCUAACUUCGUGCCAGCAGCCGCGGUAAUACGAAGGGUGCAAGCGUUACUCGGAAUUACUGGGCGUAAAGCGUGCGUAGGUGGUUCGUUAAGUCAGAUGUGAAAGCCCCGGGCUCAACCUGGGAAUUGCAUUUGAUACUGGCGGACUAGAGUGCGGUAGAGUAGAGUGGAAUUCCCGGUGUAGCAGUGAAAUGCGUAGAGAUCGGGAGGAACAUCAGUUGCGAAGGCGGCUCUCUGGACCAGCACUGACACUGAGGCACGAAAGCGUGGGGAGCAAACAGGAUUAGAUACCCUAGUAGUCC